CCUACGGGCGGCAGCAGAGGGGAAUAUUGGACAAUGGGGGCAACCCUGAUCCAGCCAUGCCGCGUGUGUGAAGAAGGCCCUCGGGUUGUAAAGCACUUUCAGUGAGGAAGAACGCCUGGUGGUUAAUACCCAUCAGGAAAAACAUCACUCACAGAAGAAGCACCGGCUAACUCCGUGCCAGCAGCCGCGGUAAUACGGAGGGUGCGAGCGUUAAUCGGAAUUACUGGGCGUAAAGCGCGCGUAGGUGGCUUGAUAAGCCGGUUGUGAAAGCCCCGGGCUCAACCUGGGAACGGCAUCCGGAACUGUCAAGCUAGAGUGCAGGAGAGGAAGGUAGAAUUCCCGGUGUAGCGGUGAAAUGCGUAGAGAUCGGGAGGAAUACCAGUGGCGAAGGCGGCCUUCUGGACUGACACUGACACUGAGGUGCGAAAGCGUGGGUAGCAAACAGGAUUAGAUACCCGUGUAGUC
This 465-nucleotide ribosomal RNA is filed under the name Vreelandella stevensii. Its description in RNAcentral is "partial 16S ribosomal RNA". It matches the Rfam family "Bacterial small subunit ribosomal RNA", at positions 338 to 795 of the family's 1533-position model. The record is from RNAcentral. Lineage: Bacteria; Pseudomonadati; Pseudomonadota; Gammaproteobacteria; Oceanospirillales; Halomonadaceae.